This 465-nucleotide ribosomal RNA is filed under the name uncultured bacterium. Its description in RNAcentral is "partial 16S ribosomal RNA". It matches the Rfam family "Bacterial small subunit ribosomal RNA", at positions 28 to 507 of the family's 1533-position model. The record is from RNAcentral.
GACGAACGCUGGCGGCGUGCUUAACACAUGCAAGUCGAACGGAAAGGCCCUGCUUGCAGGGUACUCGAGUGGCGAACGGGUGAGUAACACGUGGGUGUUCUGCCCUGCACUUCGGGAUAAGCCUGGGAAACUGGGUCUAUUACCGGAUAGGAGCCAUUUUUAGUGUGAUGGUUGGAAAGUUUUUUCGGUGUAGGAUGAGCUCGCGGCCUAUCAGCUUGUUGGUGGGGUAAUGGCCUACCAAGGCGGCGACGGGUAGCCGGCCUGAGGGGGUGGACGGCCACAUUGGGACUGAGAUACGGCCCAGACUCCUACGGGAGGCAGCAGUGGGGAAUAUUGCACAAUGGGCGCAAGCCUGAUGCAGCGACGCCGCGUGGGGGAUGACGGCCUUCGGGUUGUAAACUCCUUUCGCUAGGGACGAAGCUUUUUGUGACGGUACCUAGAUAAGAAGCACCGGCUAACUACGUG